AGUGAACGCUGGCGGUAGGCCUAACACAUGCAAGUCGAACGGCAGCACAGUAAGAGCUUGCUCUUACGGGUGGCGAGUUGCGGACGGGUGAGGAAUACAUCGGAAUCUACUUUUUCGUGGGGGAUAACGUAGGGAAACUUACGCUAAUACCGCAUACGACCUACGGUUGACAGCAGGCGAUCUUCGGACCUUGCGCGAUUGAAUGAGCCGAUGUCGGAUUAGCUAGUUGGCGGGGUAAAGGCCCACCAAGGCGACGAUCCGUAGCUGGUCUGAGAGGAUGAUCAGACACACUGGAACUGAGACACGGUCCAGACUCCUACGGGAGGAAGCAGUGGGGAAUAUUGGACGAUGGGCGAAAGCCUGAUACAGCCAUACCGCGUGGGUGAAGAAGGACUUCGGGUUGUAAAGCCAUGUUGUUGGGAAAGAAAAGCAGCAGGUUAAUACCCCGAUGUUCUGACGGUACCCAAAGAAUAAGCACCGGCUAACUUCGUG
RNAcentral lists this ribosomal RNA (492 nucleotides) under uncultured bacterium. RNAcentral describes it as "partial 16S ribosomal RNA". It matches the Rfam family "Bacterial small subunit ribosomal RNA", at positions 29 to 507 of the family's 1533-position model. The record is from RNAcentral.